AAUCAACGCUGGCGGCGUGCCUCAGACAUGCAAGUCGAACGCGAAAGUUUCCUUCGGGAGAUGAGUAGAGUGGCGCACGGGUGAGUAACACGUGAGUAAUUACCUCGGUGGGAAUACUACCGGAAACGGUUGUUAAUACCGCAUAAUGCAGCGGCGAUCAAAUGAUGACAGUUGUUAAAGCGGGGGAUUGGAGCGAAUCCGACCUCGCGCCUAGAAGAGAAGCUCGCGGCAGA
RNAcentral lists this ribosomal RNA (233 nucleotides) under uncultured bacterium. Its description in RNAcentral is "partial 16S ribosomal RNA". It matches the Rfam family "Bacterial small subunit ribosomal RNA", at positions 32 to 240 of the family's 1533-position model. The record is from RNAcentral.